Molecule: ribosomal RNA, 777 nt
Filed under: Alexandrium catenella
Lineage: Eukaryota; Dinophyceae; Gonyaulacales; Pyrocystaceae
Description: LSU rRNA
Rfam family: Eukaryotic large subunit ribosomal RNA
Source: RNAcentral
GAUCUCUUCAGUAAUUGCGCAUGAACCAGGAUAUGCUUAGCUUGACAAAUGGAGCUGCUGGCUCUGAAUUGUAUUGUGGGAAUGUAUUACCAACCAGAGGUGCAGGUGUCAGCCAUUUGAAAGAAAGCAUCAAUGAGGGUGAGAGUCCUGUUUGUCAUGUGCAGCCUUCUGUGCACGGUGUAUAUUUGCUGAGUCACACUCCUUGGGCAUUGGAAUGCAAAGUGGGUGGUAAGUUUCAUGCAAAGGUAAAUAUGCAAUUGAGACUGAUAGCGCACAAGUACCAUGAGGGACAUAUGAAAAGGACUUUGAAAAGAGAAUUAAAUGAGUUUGUAUUUGCUAAACACAAAGUAAACAGACUUGAUUUCCUCAGUGAGAUUGUAGUGCUUGCUUAACAAUGGGUUUUGGCUGCAAGUGCAAUAAUUCUUGCUUUGUGUGCCAGUUUUUAUGUGGACAUUUGAUUACCUUUGCACAUGAAUGGUAAUUUUCCUGCGGGGUGUGGAUUGCAUAUGCAUGUAAUGAUUUGCAUGUUUGUUAAAUGUGUCUGGUGUAUUUGUUUGUGUCCUUGUCCUUGAGGUUGCUUUCUCCCUUGGGCUUACAUGCCCUGGCACACACAUUCUGGCAAAAUGCUUCUGCUUGACCCGUCUUGAAACACGGACCAAGGAGUCUAACAGAUGUGCAAGUUUGAAGGUGGUAUACCUGUGUGUGUAAUGAAAGUAUUGGCUGGGAUAUUUGCACCAGCAGCCGACUAAUUAGCAGACAGAGGUUUGAGUUGGAGCA